UGGGGAAUCUUGCACAAUGGGGGCAACCCUGAUGCAGCGACGCCGCGUGAGCGAUGAAGCCCUUCGGGGCGUAAAGCUCCUUCGACCGGAACGAUAAUGACGGUACCGGGAGAAGAAGCUGCGGCUAGCUACGUGCCAGCAGCCGCGGUAAUACGUAGGCAGCAAGCGUUGUUCGGAGUUACUGGGCGUAAAGAGUGCGUAGGCGGUUUUCUAAGUUCGGUGUGAAAUCUCCCGGCUUAAAUGGGAGGGUGCGCCGAAGACUGGGAAGCUGGAGUGUGGGAAAGGCAGGCGGAAUUCCUGGUGUAGCGGUGAAAUGCGUAGAUAUCAGGAGGAACACCGGCGGUGUAGACGGCUUGCUAGACCAUAACUGACGCUGAGGCACGAAAGCGUGGGUAGCAAACA
Molecule: ribosomal RNA, 402 nt
Filed under: uncultured bacterium
Lineage: Bacteria
Description: bacterial SSU rRNA
Rfam family: Bacterial small subunit ribosomal RNA
Source: RNAcentral